AGUACAGGUGUACUUUCUGAUUAGCAUAAAAUUAUGCAGUACCACGUUGCAUUAAUUUUAUUAUUAUAUAUUAAAAGGCAUGAAAUUUCGAUUAUGUUUUAACACCAAAGGCAAAAAGCCAUAUAAUUGAAUAUCAUAAAGUUAAUAGGCCUUAAGCUACCAGAAAUGUUACGGAAAAACAUUAAGUCUUUUGAGAAAACAGUUUUAAUGGUUCCACACACACUUACAAUUUAGCUGUAAGUGGAAAUCUAAUAAAGAAAUAGAUAAAAUUAAAUAAUCCGUAGGAUGAUUAACCACGCAUUAAAAAAAACCGUAUCGAUUUUUCAAAUAAGUGCGACAAAAAAUAACGUGCAUCAUUCGAGUGGUAAUGCUAUAAAAAAAAACGAAUAUGCACGUUUGUCGGCCAUUUUGUAUGACUUAAGUACUCAUUAAGUAUAGACUUAUUUGGAGGUUGACGAUUAGGCUCAAACAAGGAUGAACAGGACCACCUUGUAGAUUUGUCUGGUUUAUUUUUAGCAGGCAAGUAGAUAUAUAACAAAACAUAAAAGAACAUACAAUAAAACAAAUACGUAACACCAAGGUCAGCAAAGUUGGAUCGCAGAUAAUCCUCAAAUGAGCAAAAGACAUUUUUAACUAGGAACUCCUCUAUCUUGGACUUGAAUGUAAUAAACAGCAGAUUCUAUUUUUUGAAAGAUUGCUGCAUUCUCCAUAACCACAGUAUAAAGAACAAGAGUUUUAAAGUUUUAAAGAACAAGAGUUUCUAGUUUAUGUUCGGUGCCAUAACCCAGAUAUAGAACAGGAAAUUUGGUUUAGAGCAGGAGUAGGGGCAACUAAAAAAGAUAUUCCAGUACACAUAAUGGCUACUCGUCACGGUCCAGAAUUAUGUACGGUUCUUCCAGCUCUUUACCACUUGACUGGUGCUAAUUAUACAAGUAAAGUUGGAACCAAGCGUAGUGCUCUUUGUGCUAAUCCAAUAAAAUUUCUUAGUAACUUCGCUAAAGUACAUCUGAAAUCCAAGUUGAUGAUUCAGUGCAGCGUGCGGAAAAGUAUCUUGUUCAGGUACUUCGCCAAGGUAACCCAUCAAAAACAUUUGAUGAUUUAAGAUAUUGGCUGUAUCACCAUGGUAAAACUUUUUCUGUCACACUAUUGCCACCUACGAGUUCAUCAAUCAGACAACAUAUUUUACGAGCAUUUUUUGUUGUUUAUACCCAAAACAAUUGCUUGAAAGAAGAAACAUUGCCUUUGGAUCCUCUGAUGUUUGGAUACAAGCUAGAAAAUGCCAUCCUUAUUCCAAAAUCUGCUGACAAUAUAUUUCCUUCAGCCGAAGAAUUAGUCCCGAAUUGCAAUUGUGGUAAAUGUGCACGUAAAAAUAAUUGUUGUUGCCAUGUUGCUGAAUUGCCUUGCUGUUCUUUUUGUCGUUGUCGCAUAACAACUCAAUGUAAAAGUCCUAAUGACAUGUAAAUAGCGAUUUGAAAUAUAAUGUUUUCAAAAUGA
This 1494-nucleotide long non-coding RNA is filed under the name Anthonomus grandis grandis. RNAcentral's name for it is "uncharacterized LOC126742560". The record is from RNAcentral. Lineage: Eukaryota; Metazoa; Arthropoda; Insecta; Coleoptera; Curculionidae.